RNAcentral lists this unclassified non-coding RNA (258 nucleotides) under Hevea brasiliensis (rubber tree). The record is from RNAcentral. Lineage: Eukaryota; Viridiplantae; Streptophyta; Magnoliopsida; Malpighiales; Euphorbiaceae.
UGCUGAUACAAGUUGCAAUUUCUCAACAAACUGACUUACAAUUGCUCUCAGCACAAUUGAAUUUGACAGCCAAAAAGUUAACCUUGGAACAUCAUUUCCACAAGCUUUAGAAGCCAAAACUAAUCCUGAGAUGAUAGCUCUAGCUGCACUUGCCCUCUUAGCCUGUGAAAUUGCCUUGCAAGUAUGAAGAUAGAACCUUGAAAGGCGCCUGGCUGGAGCAUGAACUUUGUUUGCAGAACUGCCAUGCUCAGCAACAAC